AAAGGUGUGAGGAGUGAAGUGAACUACGAAAAAUCCCCGAAGUCGAAACAAGGUAAGACGCUCGGGGAUUUUUCGUA
This 77-nucleotide small RNA is filed under the name Leptolyngbyaceae cyanobacterium JSC-12. RNAcentral's name for it is "Oscillatoriales cyanobacterium JSC-12 Cyano-1 RNA". It matches the Rfam family "Cyano-1 RNA". The record is from Rfam by way of RNAcentral. Lineage: Bacteria; Bacillati; Cyanobacteriota; Cyanophyceae; Leptolyngbyales; Leptolyngbyaceae.